AGGGUUUGAUCAUGGCUCAGAACGUACGCUGGCGGCACGCCUAACACAUGCAAGUCGAACGAAGUAGCAAUACUUAGUGGCAAACGGGUGAGUAACAUGUGGGUAUCUGCCCUUUGGCCUGGAAUAACACGAGGAAACUUGUGCUAAUACCGGAUAAGUCUUUUAAGAGAAAGCUUUAUGCACCAAUGGAUGAGCCCGCACCUGAUUAGUUAGUUGGUGGGGUAAUGGCUUACCAAGACAAUGAUCAGUAGCUGAUUUGAGAGGAUGAUCAGCCACAUUGGGACUGAGACACGGCCCAAACUCCUACGGGAGGCAGCAGUGGGGAAUCUUGCACAAUGGGGGAAACCCUGAUGCAGCGAUGCCGCGUGAGUGAAGAAGGCCCUUGGGUUGUAAAGCUCUUUCGUCGGGGAAGAAAAUGACUGUACCCGAAUAAGAAGGUCCGGCUAACUUCGUGCCAGCAGCCGCGGUAAUACGAAGGGACCUAGCGUAGUUCGGAAUUACUGGGCUUAAAGAGUUCGUAGGUGGUUAAAAUAGUUGGUGGUGAAAUCCCAGAGCUUAACUCUGGAACUGCCAUCAAAACUUUUUAGCUAGAGUAUGAUAGAGGAAAGUAGAAUUUCUAGUGUAGAGGUGAAAUUCGUAGAUAUUAGAAAGAAUACCAAUUGCGAAGGCAGCUUUCUGGAUCAUUACUGACA
Molecule: ribosomal RNA, 692 nt
Filed under: uncultured bacterium
Lineage: Bacteria
Description: bacterial SSU rRNA
Rfam family: Bacterial small subunit ribosomal RNA
Source: RNAcentral